ACUACGGGUGGCAGCAGUGAGGAAUAUUGGUCAAUGGCCGCAAGCCUGAACCAGCCAAGUAGCGUGAAGGAUGAAGGAUCUACGGUUUGUAAACUUCUUUUAUAGGGGAAUAAAGUUAUCCACGUGUGCCUUUUUGUAUGUAUUUUAUGAAUAAGCAUCGGCUAACUCCGUGCCAGCAGCCGCGGUAAUACGGAGGAUCCGAGCGUUAUCCGGAUUUAUUGGGUUUAAAGGGUGCGUAGAUUGUUUUUUAAGUCAGUGGUGAAAGUUUGAGGCUCAACCGUAAAAUUGCAGUUGAUACUGGCAGACUUGAGUACAGUUGAGGUAGGCGGAAGUCGUGGUGUAGCGGUGAAAUGCAUAGAUAUCACGAAGAACUCCGAUUGCGAAGGCAGCCUACUAAGCCACCACUGACAUUGAUGCUCGAAAGCGUGGGUAUCAAACAGGAUUAGAUACCCUAGUAGUC
RNAcentral lists this ribosomal RNA (460 nucleotides) under uncultured bacterium. RNAcentral describes it as "partial 16S ribosomal RNA". It matches the Rfam family "Bacterial small subunit ribosomal RNA", at positions 338 to 795 of the family's 1533-position model. The record is from RNAcentral.